Cynocephalus volans (Philippine flying lemur) is the source of this 496-nucleotide long non-coding RNA. RefSeq lists it as uncharacterized. Lineage: Eukaryota; Metazoa; Chordata; Mammalia; Dermoptera; Cynocephalidae. The record is from RefSeq and is a predicted model, not a curated record. The transcript is spliced from 3 exons.
ACAUACAAGAAAGAAAACCUCAAAGACUGAACAUACAUUGACUUCAUGCAAAGCGUUAAGAGAAGAAAUGAGCCUGGCUCUGAGGAUACACCUAAGGCAGAUCUUUCCCACAAAGAAUUGAAAGCACUUCCACUCUAAGAGAAAUUAGGACAACAAUCACAUCCAUAAAUGACAUCAUCCUCUGCCUGUUGUCUGAGAAAAUGCGGUAGAGGCAUUUCUGAGCCAUGAGCCAGGGGAGCUGAGGAAGCUUGUUAUUCCAGAAGAAAAUGUUGGGGAAAAGUAUGCCUUAAUCACUACGACCAAAGCUGAUUAAAUGGAAAUAUGAAGCAACUCUUCGGCUAACACUGAGAAUAGACUCUGCCACUGAACAAAAAAGGGGAGCAGAUUCCUCUCAAUGUUCCAGAUUAGUUUUGUACAUGAGAUAAGUUUUCAACUUCCUUCCUGUUCCUGGUGUUGAAAGGACCUUUAUAUUUUGAUCGAGGAUUGAGUAGUGUUG